GACGAACGCUGGCGGCGUGCUUAACACAUGCAAGUCGAGCGGUAAGGCCCUUUCGGGGGUACGACGAGCGGCGAACGGGUGAGUAACACGUGGGUGGACCUGCCUCUAGCUCUGGGAUAAGCCUGGGAAGGCUGGGUCUAAUACCGGAUAUGACCUCGCGGUGCAUGUUGCGGGGUGGAAAGCCUUGUGCGGCUAGGGAUGGGCCCGCGGCCUAUCAGCUUGUUGGUGGGGUGAUGGCCUACCAAGGCGACGACGGGUAGCCGGCCUGAGAGGGCGACCGGCCACACUGGGACUGAGACACGGCCCAGACUCCUACGGGAGGCAGCAGUGGGGAAUCUUGCGCAAUGGGCGAAAGCCUGGCGCAGCGACGCCGCGUGAGGGAUGACGGCCUC
RNAcentral lists this ribosomal RNA (392 nucleotides) under uncultured bacterium. RNAcentral describes it as "bacterial SSU rRNA". It matches the Rfam family "Bacterial small subunit ribosomal RNA", at positions 28 to 418 of the family's 1533-position model. The record is from RNAcentral.